Long non-coding RNA from Culex pipiens pallens (northern house mosquito), 730 nucleotides. RefSeq lists it as uncharacterized. NCBI's taxonomy places the organism in Eukaryota, Metazoa, Arthropoda, Insecta, Diptera, Culicidae. The transcript is spliced from 4 exons. The record is from RefSeq and is a predicted model, not a curated record.
UAGUCUGGAUUGAGUUGUCAUUAAGGAAAGUACUGUAUACCUGAAAAUGGUGGCCCUCAACAUAUUUCCAGAGUUGGGUAGAAUCUACGCUUUCGUUGUUGUAGUAGGAAGAACUUCCAGUACUGUGAAACAUGUUUCACUAAAAGCCAACGGAAAUGGUGGAGAAAUUAUUGUUGUCAUGAAAAAUCUCAUUUGGAUUUUAACGUCAAUUGUUCUUCUGAUUGGUAUCAUUCAAAAAAGUUUGACGUGUGUUAAAAUGUAUCGCACUUUUUACGUAGUUGCAGCUCUGAUCAGCUUGAUGGCAAUAGUAACUGCUGGCAUCACUUCUCUGGAUAAAGUUGAUCAAAGUCGUCUUCCGAUGAAGAGAUUAUCAUUUUUUGCUGUUGUAUUUGUCUUUUGCGCACUGGCAAUGUGUAUUAUCUGGAUAUUGAACGGAAUUAUUCGGUACAUCGAAAGUGAGAAGAAUAUUCAAGUGAAAUAUGUGCAAAAUUUGCUGCAAAUUUAGUUUUUGCUUCGUUUUUUCUAAUCAAAAAAUAAUAUUUUGAUUUUUUUUUCUAAAGGAGAUUCCAAAUAAAGAUGACAACCCUCAAACAUCCCCCCCAGCUUUGGCAUUCUGCCCACGUGUCCCUCGUAUGUCUGCAAAUUUCGCACACAUUCCCGGACUGCCAGCAAAUAAGGGGAACAAAAGACUUAACUAAAAAUCAAUAAAUUUCAACAGUCAGAAGCACGA